AACGCUGGCGGCGUGGCUAAGACAUGCAAGUCGCACGAGAAAGUUCCUUCGGGAACGAGUAGAGUGGCGAAAGGGUGAGGAAUACAUGGAUAACGUACCCCAGGCACAGGGAUAGCCGUGGGAAACCGCGGGUAAUACCUGACACCGUCAUGAUGCUGCAGGGCAUCUUGAUGAAAGGUGGGGACCUUCGGGCCUAUCGGCCUGGGAGCGGUCCAUGUCCUAUCAGCUUGUUGGUGAGGUAACGGCUCACCAAGGCAACGACGGGUACCGGGACUGAGAGGUUGACCCGGCACAUUGGGACUGAGACACUGCCCAGACUCCUACGGGAGGCUGCAGUAACGAAUAUUGCACAAUGGGCGCAAGCCUGAUGCAGCGACGCCGCGUGUGGGAGUAAGCCCUUCGGGGUGUAAACCACUGUCAGGGACUACCAAGCAAUGGAGGUGAAUAAUCUCCUGCGUUGAGGCGUCCCAGAGGAAGUCACGGCUAACUUCGUGCCAGCAGCCGCGGUAAUACGAAGGUGGCAAGCGUUGUUCGGAAUCACUGGGCUUAAAGAGCACGUAGGCGGACUGUCAAGCGUCUUGUGAAAUCCCUCGGCUUAACCGAGGAAUUGCUGGGCGAACUGACAGUCUUGAGGCAAGUAGGGGCGCACGGAACUCUUGGUGGAGCGGUGGAAUGCGUAGAUCUCAAGAGGAACGCCAGAGGCGAAGGCGGUGCGCUGGGCUUGACCUGACGCUGAGGUGCGAAAGCCAGGGGAGCGAACGGGAUUAGAUACCCCGGUAGUCCUGGCCAUAAACGAUGUCUACUAGAUCUGAGGUGUUCUGACACACUUCUGGUCGAAACCAAAGCGUUAAGUAGACCGCCUGGGGAGUACGGUCGCAAAGGCUAAAACUCAAAGGAAUUGACGGGGGCUCACACAAGCGGUGGAGCAU
This 929-nucleotide ribosomal RNA is filed under the name uncultured organism. Its description in RNAcentral is "bacterial SSU rRNA". It matches the Rfam family "Bacterial small subunit ribosomal RNA", at positions 32 to 940 of the family's 1533-position model. The record is from RNAcentral.